GAUGAACGCUAGCUACAGGCUUAACACAUGCAAGUCGAGGGGAAACGACAUCGAAAGCUUGCUUUUGGUGGGCGUCGACCGGCGCACGGGUGAGUAACGCGUAUCCAACCUGCCCACCACUUGGGGAUAACCUUGCGAAAGUAAGACUAAUACCCAAUGAUAUCCCACGAAGGCAUCGGAAUGGGAUUAAAGAUUUAUCGGUGAUGGAUGGGGAUGCGUCUGAUUAGCUUGUUGGCGGGGUAACGGCCCACCAAGGCAACGAUCAGUAGGGGUUCUGAGAGGAAGGUCCCCCACAUUGGAACUGAGACACGGUCCAAACUCCUACGGGAGGCAGCAGUGAGGAAUAUUGGUCAAUGGGCGAGAGCCUGAACCAGCCAAGUAGCGUGCAGGAUGACGGCCCUAUGGGUUGUAAACUGCUUUUAUAAGGGAAUAAAGUGGGUCUCGUGAGACUUUUUGCAUGUACCUUAUGAAUAAGGACCGGCUAAUUCCGUG
This 492-nucleotide ribosomal RNA is filed under the name uncultured bacterium. RNAcentral describes it as "bacterial SSU rRNA". It matches the Rfam family "Bacterial small subunit ribosomal RNA", at positions 28 to 507 of the family's 1533-position model. The record is from RNAcentral.